RNAcentral lists this ribosomal RNA (253 nucleotides) under uncultured bacterium. Its description in RNAcentral is "partial 16S ribosomal RNA". It matches the Rfam family "Bacterial small subunit ribosomal RNA", at positions 524 to 776 of the family's 1533-position model. The record is from RNAcentral.
UACGUAGGUGGCAAGCGUUGUCCGGAUUUACUGGGCGUAAAGCGUAUGCAGGCGGACUGUUAAGUCCAAGGUGAAAGGUGGGAGCUCAACUCCUACACUGCCUCGGAUACUGGCAGUCUUGAGUGGCGGAGAGGAAGAUGGAACAAGUUGUGUAGCGGUGAAAUGCGUUGAUAUAACUUGGAACACCAAUGGCGAAAGCAAUCUUCUGGACGCAAACUGACGCUGAGAUACGAAAGCUAAGGUAGCAAACAGG